AUGGACGCGGCGUGGGCGUGCGCGGUGGACCGGGCCGCCGGCGUGGCCGACUCCACCAGGCGCUUCUUCCUCUCCUUCCGCCGCCCUCCGCCUCCGCCGCCCGGCCCCAACCCGAUAGACAUCUUGAAGCGUCUGCAGCGACAAGCGUUCUACGACAUAAUGCAGCUGAGGGAUAGGCAAGAGAAGGUCGAGAAGGUGCUCACGCUGUUCAAAUCUCACAAAGUCGGUCCAUUUGCGGAAGAGAGCACCCGGGUCAAGGGCCUCAUCAAUUUCACCGGAGCCCUAGCACUGAACAGCAAAGAAGGCGUGGAACCAUACAGCCCGGAAGCAAAUUCUGGCAUCAGCUCACAGUUUGCGUUCCGGACAAGUGUCCGGAAGAAGGACUCUCUCCUGGCAGAGCUUGCCACCGAUUCCAGAUACUUCUAUCAGGAAAAUGAUCUCAUGGGGAGCCCUCUUGUGCUGUCGAAGGUGAUGUACCUGGCAAACGUCAGCGACCACAUGUCUGUUGCUGCGGUGCCGGUAGGAGCAAGGUGUGAUGAUUUUUCAACCGAUCCAAGCAUCCAAGAGGGGCAAUGGGUUCCCAGCUUCCAUACCUCGCUGAGGCCACCUCUGCUGCUUAAGCGUCACAAGCGCGCUGCUGGCCUGAUACUGAGGUCGCAGAACUUCGCGGCCUCUCUCGCCGAGUUGAUCUCAACAGCUGCGAAAAGCUCGGGUGAAGCCAGCAGCAUCUUCACCGGAUUCGGGCAGAUUUCAUGCAAGAUGUGUGACGACAUAAAGCUGACCAUGUCCGCGGCCUGGCAUGGACCGUCUGCGAUUCCUCGGAAGAGCAAACCGACCGCUGGAGGGUGCCUCGACUUCGAGCUGAAGUUCGACGAGGACUCGAGAUUUGGGGCGUGGGUCGAGGUGAAGAGGUCGAACCCGAGGCAGCUGAAAUGGGCCGUCACGCUGUCGGAUACGCCGGAGAACGACCUAGGCUGGGGCGUGAGCCUGCGGAGAGGCUCCGAGGGGGCGCCAGAGCGGAUUCAGCUAGAAGGGUUUCUCAACUUACAUCUAGGCCAGAAUGCCACCCUGCAGCCUGGUGUCAUGUUCAACCUGGAUGGGAGGCGAUGCGCCCCAGCGCUCGUGUUCCGGUCAAGUUGGUUCUUGUGA
RNAcentral lists this ribosomal RNA (1149 nucleotides) under Triticum aestivum (bread wheat). RNAcentral's name for it is "partial small subunit ribosomal RNA". The record is from RNAcentral. Lineage: Eukaryota; Viridiplantae; Streptophyta; Magnoliopsida; Poales; Poaceae.